GCUAUAGGCUUUAGCGACAGAAAUCUGUCGUCUUCGGUGUUCUUCACCAGCCCAGAAUUCCAAAGUCAACAUCCGAGUGAGCUAGUUUGACCGAUUAUAAUUCUCAAUCCAUUACGUUUCUGGGCAAUCUAACACUUAGAUCUUGUAGUACUAGUGUAAUAAUACAAUUAUCAACAAAUAUCAUGUUUAAACAACAUCAGAUCUGGGAGAUAUUGGUCAUCAAAAACUCUGACAACACUGUUCUUCAACUGAAGAACAGUCGAG
This 264-nucleotide long non-coding RNA is filed under the name Panax ginseng (ginseng). Its description in RNAcentral is "long non-coding RNA (PGIN_LNC005652)". The record is from RNAcentral. Lineage: Eukaryota; Viridiplantae; Streptophyta; Magnoliopsida; Apiales; Araliaceae.